ACACAGUCUUAAAAUUUGCCCAUCUUAGCAAAUUGUUUCCAAGUGUUUCUUCUGUGUGUUUAACCUGUAAACAAUCACGGAGGGUGUUUUGUAGGCUGAGUCUUAUCUUCGCCCCUUUCCCAACUGCACUCAGGUUAACAGUUGUCAGCGUUCCCUUUGCCUUGGAUUUAAUUAUACAGAACCAAAAUGUUUCCCAGUAGAUUAACUUGCUAAAUAUUUUGUCGCUUUUGUGAUUUCCCCACUGACAACUCGAUUGAUUACAGAGAUCUACCU
This 273-nucleotide long non-coding RNA is filed under the name Chinchilla lanigera (long-tailed chinchilla). RNAcentral describes it as "WT1 antisense RNA conserved region 8 (ENSCLAG00000021369.1)". It matches the Rfam family "WT1 antisense RNA conserved region 8". The record is from RNAcentral. Lineage: Eukaryota; Metazoa; Chordata; Mammalia; Rodentia; Chinchillidae.